CAAUAGCGUAUAUUAAAGUUGUUGCAGUUAAAAAGCUCGUAGUUGGAUUUCGGGGCAGCCUGGCUGGUCCGCCGCAAGGCGAGUACUGGUCAGCCGCCCUUCCUCUCGAAAGCCCCGACUGCUCUUCGUUGCAGUGGUCGGGUAGUUCGGGACGUUUACUUUGAAAAAAUUAGAGUGUUCAAGGCAGGCCUACGCCUGAAUACAUUAGCAUGGAAUAAUGGAAGAGGACCUCGGUCCUAUUUUGUUGGUUUCCAGGGCCGAAGUAAUGAUUAAGAGGGACAGUUGGGGGCAUUCGUAUUUAAUUGUCAGAGGUGAAAUUCUCGGAUUUAUGAAAGACGAACAACUGCGAAAGCACUUGCCAAGGAUGUUUUCAUUAA
This 377-nucleotide ribosomal RNA is filed under the name uncultured eukaryote. RNAcentral's name for it is "partial 18S ribosomal RNA". It matches the Rfam family "Eukaryotic small subunit ribosomal RNA", at positions 592 to 976 of the family's 1831-position model. The record is from RNAcentral.